Hippocampus comes (tiger tail seahorse) is the source of this 193-nucleotide long non-coding RNA. RefSeq lists it as uncharacterized. The record is from RefSeq and is a predicted model, not a curated record. The transcript has 2 exons. NCBI's taxonomy places the organism in Eukaryota, Metazoa, Chordata, Actinopteri, Syngnathiformes, Syngnathidae.
AUUACCGCCUGGCAAGAUGUCUUUCUGUGCCCGAAAGCAGUUCAAUUCAAUGUAGCCCUCCGAAUAAACUUUCCCGGGGGCUGUAUGCAAAUGCCACUCGAAAAGUUUAGUGUUUUCGUCAGUAGUGGUAGCUGCGAUCUUGUUUCGAAAAAAAAAAACAAAAAAACAUAACAUGAGUACCGUAGCAGUUGAG